GUUUCUUUAACUGAUAAAAAGAACUUAAUGGAGAGGAAGAAUUCCUUUAUAAAAAUGUUAAUAUUUUUUAUUUUAUUUUUUAAAGUUUCUUUAUUUUGAGAUUGAGAGUGAAAGAGAGAGUGCGUGCCUGAGUUGGGGAGGGGCAGAGAGAGAGAUGGAGAGAGAGAGAAUCCCAAGCAGCCCCACACUGCCAGUGCCGCUGGAGCCCAAUGUGGGGCUGAAACUCACGAGCCUCGAGAUCAUAAGCUGAGCUGAAAUCAAGAGCUUAACUGACUGAGCCACCCAGUUUCCCCUAUCGAUAUUUUUUAAAAGCACAUCACUAGGCCUUAGUUUUUCUAUCUAAAAUUAUGAAACCUUCCAGUUUUCUAGCUUUUUAUCUUUCCAAAGUAUGUAGAGCAGCUUUUAUGAAUGGUGGUAGUAGGGGUACAUUUACUUCCUUAUCUGAUUUUUGAGUGACUUUUUUCUUCAUUGAUUUUUUAUAUUAAAAUAAUUAGUAAAGGGGAACCUGGGUGGCUCAGUCGGUUAAGCGUCCGACUUCAACUCAGGUCAUGAUCUCGUGGUCCGUGAGUUCGAGCCCCACAUUGGGCUCUGGGCUGACGGCUCAGAGCCUGAAGCCUGCUUCGGAUUCUGUGUCUCCCUCUCUCUCUGCCCCUCCCCCGUUCAUGGUCUGUCUCUCUCUGUCUCAAAAAUAAAUAAACGUUAAAAAAAAAUAAUAAAAAUAAAUAAAAUAAUUAGUAAAAAUAAGCCCUAUUCAUUUAUUUUUGUUUCAUUGAUUCUUUUAUUUUUUUCAGAUUUUUAUUUAAAUUCCAGUUAGUUAACAUACAGUGCAAUAUUGGUUUCAGGAGUAGAAUUCACUGAUUCAUCACUUACAUACAACACCCAGUGCUCAUCAUACCAAGUGCCCUCCUUAAUAUCUAUCACCCAUCUAGCCCAUGCCCCACACUCCUCCCUCCGUCAACCCUCAGUUCUCUUUCUUUAAGAUUCUCUUAUGGUUUGUUUUCCACUCUCUUUUUUCUUUUUUUCCCCUUCCCAUAUGUUCAUCCGUUUUGUUUCUUAAAUUCCACAUGAAUGAAUGAAAUAAUUUGGUAUUUGUCAUUCUCUGACGGACUUACUUCGUUUAGCAUUAUAUACUCUGUCUCCAUCCACAUUGUUGCAAAUGGCAAGAUUUCAUUCUCUUUGAUGGCUGAGUAAUAGUCCAUUGUACAUGUAUACCAUAUCUUCUGUAUCCAUUCAUCAAUGAAUGGACAUUUGGGCUCUCUCCAUAGUUUGGCUAUUGUUGAUAAUGCUUCUAUAAACAUCAGGGUGCGUGUACCCAUUAGAUUCUGUACUUUGUAUCCUUUGGGAGAUAUCUAGUAGUUCUAUUUUUAACUUUUUGAGGAACCUCCAUACUGUUUUCCAGAGUGGCUGUACCAGUUUGCAUUCCCACCAACAGUGCAAGAAGGUUCCCCUGUCUCCACAUCCUCGCCAACACUUGUUAUUUCUUGUGUUGUUAAUUUUAACCAUUCUGUCUGGUGUGAAGUGGUAUCUCAUUAUGGUUUUGAUUUGCAUUUCACUGAUGAUUAGGUAUGUUGAGCAUCUUUUCUUUUAGCCAUCUGGACAUCUUUGGAAAAAUAUCUAUUGGGGCACUUGGGUGGCUCAGUUGAUUAAGCGACUGACUCUCGAUUUCACCUCAGGUCAUGAUCUCAUGGUUCAUGAGAUUGAGCCUUGCAUCGGGCUUUGUGCUGACAGCCUGGAGCCUGCUUGGGAUACUCUCUCUUCCUCUCUCUUCCUUUCUCUCUGUCCCUCCCACACUUGUGUGCACGUUCUGUUUCUCAAAAUAAAUAAACAUUAUCUUUAAAGAAAAGUGUCAGGGGUUCCUGGGUGGCUCAGUCGGUAAGCGUCCAACUUCAGUUCAGGUCAUGACCUCACGGUUCAUGGGUUUGAGCCCUGCAUCAGGCUCUGUGCUGACAGCUCAGAGCCUGGAGCCUGCUUCAGAUUCUGUGUCUCCCUCUCUCUCUCCUCCUCCCCCACUCACACUCUGUCUCUCAAAAAUAAAUAAACAUUAAAAAAAAUUUUACAAAAGAAAAGUGUUGGAGCACCUGGGUGGCUCAGUUGGUUGAGCGUUCAACUUCAGCUCAGGUCAUGAUCUUAUGGUUUGCGAGUUUGAGCCCCACAUCAGGCUCUGUGCUGACAGCUCAGAGCCUGGAGCCUGCUUCAGAUUCUGUGUCUCCCUCUCUUUCUGCCCUUCUCCCACUCAUGCUGUGUCUCUCUCUCUCAAAAAUAAAUAAACAUUAAAAAAAACUGGAAGAAGAAGAAAAAUGUCUGUUCAUGUCUUCUCAUUUUUUUUAACUGGCUGAUUUGUUUUUUGGGUGUUGAGUUUGAUAAGUUCUUUACAGAGUUUGGUUAUUAACCCUUUAUCAGAUAUGUCAUUUGCAGAUACCUUCUCCCAUUCUGCAUGCUGCCUUUCAGUUUUGUUGAUUGUUUCCUUCGCCAUGCAGAAGAUUUUUAUCUUGAUGAAGUCUCAAUAAUUCAUCUUGGCCUUUGUUUCCCUUUUCUAUGGCGAGGUGUCUGAUAAGAAGUUGCUCCGGCUAAGGUCAAAGAGGUUUUUACUUGUGUUCUCCUCUAGGAUUUUGAUGGUUUCCUGUCUCACAUUUAGGUCUUUACCCACUUUGAACUUAUUUUUGUGUAUGGUGUAAGAAAGUGGCCCAGUUUCAUUCUCCUGCAUGUUGUCCAGUUUUCCCAACACCAUUUGUUGAAGAGACUGCCUUUUUUCCAUUGAAUAUUCUUUCCUGCUUUGUCAAAGAUGAGUUGACCAUAUAGUUGUGAGUCCAUUUAUGGGUUUUCUAUUCUGUUCCAUUGAUCUGUGUGUCUGUUUUUGUGGCAGUACCAUACUGUCUUGAUGAUUAAAGCUUUGUAAUAUACCUUGAAGUCCACAAUCAUGAUGCCUCCAGAUUUGCUUUUCUUUUUCAGGAUUAUUUUGGACAUUCGGGAUUUUUUGUGGUUCCAUACAAAUUUUAGGAUUGUUUAUUCGAGCUCUGUGCAAAAUGCUAGUGGUAUUUUAAUAAGGAUUGCCUUAAAUGUGUCAAUUGCUUUGGGUAGCAUAGAUAUUUUAACAAUGCUUAUUCUUCCAAUCCAUGAGCAUGGAAUGUUUUUCCCUUUCUUUGUGUCCUCUUCAGUUUCUUUCAUAAAUGUUCUUUAGUUUUCAGAGUUGAGAUCUUUUACCUCUUUGGUUAGGUUUAUUCCUAGGUAUCGAAUGACUUUUGGUGCAAUUGUAAAUGGAUCAAUUCCUUGAUUCUUUCUCUGCUGCUUCAUUGUUGGUGUUUAGAAAUGCAGCAGAUUUCUGUACAUUGAUUUUAUUUCCUGUGAUUUUGCUGAAUUCAUGUAUUAAUUAGUUCUAGCAAUUCUUUGGUGGAAUCUUUCAGGUUUUCUACAUAGAGUAUCUUGUUGUCUGCAAAUAGUGAAAGUUUGACUUCCUCCUUGCAGAUUUUAUUUUAUUUCUUUUUGUUAUUUGAUUACUGAGGCUAAGACUUCCACUACUGUAUUAAAUAGUAAUGGUGAGAGAGGACAUCACUGUCUGUAGGGGAAGAGCUUUCUGUUUUCCUCCAUUGAGGAUGCUAUUAGCUGUGAGUUUUUUGUAUAUGGCCUUCAUGAUGUUGAGGUAUGUUCCUUCUAUCCCUACUUUGUUGAGGGUUUUUAUUAAGAAUGGAUGCUGUGUUUUGUCAAAUGCUUUUUCUGCAUCUUCUGAGAGGAUCAUAUGGUUCUUAUCCUUCUAUUAUUAAUGUGGUGUAUCACGUUGAUUGAUUUGUGAAUAUUGAACCAGCCCUGCAACCCAAGAAUAAAUCCCAUUUGAUCAUGGUGAAUAAUUCUUUUAAUGUACCAUUGGAUUCAGUUUGCUAGUAUCUUCUUCAGAAUUUUUGUGUCCAUGUUCAUUGGGGAUAUUGUCCUGUAAUUCUUUUUAGUGGGUUCUUUGGUUUUGGAAUCAAGGUAAUGUUGGCCUUGUAGAAGAGGUUUAGAAUUUUUCCUUUCAUUUCCAUUUUUUUGAAACAAUUUGAAAAGAAUAGGUAUUAACUCUUCUUUAACUGUGUGAUAAAAUUCCCCUGCAAAGCCAUGUGGUCCUGGACUUUUGUUUGUUGGGAGAUUUUUGAUUACUGAUUCAGUUUUUUAGCUGGUUAUGAGUUUGUUGAAAUCUAUUUCCUCUGUUUCAGUUUGGUAGUUUGUAUGUUUUUAGGAAUUUGUCCAUUUCGUCAAGAUUUCCCACUUUGUUGACAUAUAAUUUUUCAUAAUAUUCUCUUAAAAUUGUAUUUCUGUGAUGUUGAUUGUGAUCUCUCCUCUUUCAUUCAUGAUUUUAUCUGUUUGGGUCCUUUCUCUUUUUGAUAAGUCUGGCUAGAGGUUUAUUAAUUAUUAAUUGUUUCUAAGAACCAGCUCUUAGUUUCAUUGAUGUGUUCUACUGUUUUUUGUUUAUUCAUUUAUUUCUAUAUCACUUAUUUUUGUUCUAGUCUUUAUUAUUUCCAUUCUUUCGCUGGCUUUAGGCUGUUUUAUUGCUGUUCCUCUUCUCGCUCCUUUAGGUGUGAGGUUAGGUGGUGUAUUUAUUAUUUCCCUUCUUCUGAUGGUUUUAGGCUUUAUUUCCUGUUCCUUUUCAAGUUUUAUAGGGUUGUGGUUUGAAAAUAAUGUGUGGUAUGGUCUCAGUCUUUUUGUACUUGUCGAGGGCUGAUUUGUGACCCAGUAUGUGAUCUGUUCUGGAAAAUGUUUCAAGUGCAUUCAAAAAGAAUGUGUAUUCUGCUGCUUUAGGAUGAAAUGUUCUGAAUAUGCUGUGAAGUCCGUCCCACCCCAUGUGUCAUUCAAAGCCAUUGUUUCCUUGUUGAUUUUCUGCUUCACUGAUGUGUCCAUUGUUGUAAGUGGGGAGUUAAAGUCCCCUGCUACUAUUGUAUUAUCAAUGAGUUUCUUUAUGUUUGUGAUUAAUUGAUUUAAAUAUUUGGGUGCUGCCACAUUGGGGACAUAAAUAUUUACAAUUGUUAGGUCUUCUGCAUGGAUAGACCCCUUAAUUAUGAUGUAAUGCCCUUUGACAUCUCUUAUUACAGUCUUUGUUUUAAAAUCUAGUUUGUCUAUAGCUACUCCAGCUUUUUUUUGACAUGCAUUAGCAUGCUAGAUGGUUCUCCAUCCCUUCACUUUCUGAUGGUGUCUUUAGGUCUAAAAUGAGUUAUAGGCAGCAUGUAGAUGGAUCUUGUUUUUUUUUUUUUUUUUUUUUAUCCAUUCUGAUACCCUAUGUCUUUUAAUUGGCGCUUUUAAUCCAUUUAUAUUCAGAGUGAUUGUUGAUAGAUAUGAAUUUAGUGCCUUUGUGUUACCUGUAAAGCUGGCAUUUCUGGUGAUGUUCUGUGUUCCUCUCUAGUCUUUGUUGGUUUUGGUCUUUUUUCCCCCCACUCAGUCCCCUUUAGUAUUUCUUGCAGGGCUGGUUUAGUGGUAACAAACUCAUUUAGUUUUUGUCUGGAAAACUCUAUCUCUUCCUCUAUUCUGAAUGACAGCCUUGCUGAAUAAAGUAUUCUUGGCUGCAUUUUUUUCCCAUUCAGCACGUUGAAUAUAUCCUGCUAUUCCCUUCUGGCCUGCCAAGUUUCUGUGGACAAAUCUGCUUCAGAUCUGAUCUCUCUUCCCUUGUAGGUUAAAGACUUUUUUUCCUGGUUGCUUUUAGGAUUCUUUCCUUUUUCUCUGUAUUUUGUGAAUUUGACUAUAUGUUUAGGUGAUGGCCAGUUUUUUGUUUUUUGUUUUUAAUUAAAUAGAAGUUCUCUCUACUCCUUGGAUUUCAGUGUAUGUGUCCUUUCCCGGAAUAGGGAAGUUUUUAGCCACAAUUUGCUCAAAUAAGCCUUCUGCUCCUUUUCCUCUUCAUCUUUUGGGACUCCUGUGAUAUGAAUGUUAUGUUUUAAGAAGUUGCUGAAUUCCCUAAGUCUACCUUUGUGGUCUAAUACCUUUGUUUCCCUCUUCUUUUCAGCUUCAUUAUUUUCGUAAUUUUUUCUUCUCUAUCACUGAUUUGUUCCUCUGCUUUAUCCAUCCUCAUUGUUAUGAGGGUUUGCAUCUCAGUUUUCACAUUUUUAAUUUCAGCCUGACUAGAUUUUCAUUCUUUUACCUCUGCCCGAAGUGAUUCUUUGGUGGCUUCUGUGUUUUUUUCAAGCCCAGCUUUAAUUCUAGUUCAGACAUCUUACUUAUACCUAUCUUGAUUAAAUCCCUGGCCGUAAUUUCUACUUUCUGUUCUUUUUUUCUUUUUUUUAAAGUUUAUUCUUUGUUUUUGAGAGAGGAAAGAGAGAGAGAGCGAGAGAGCGCGUACUGGAAAGCAAGCAGGGGAAGGUCAGAGGGAAGGAGAGAAUCCCAAGCAGGCUCUGCAGUGUCAGCACAGAGCCCAAUAUGGGACUUGAACUCACAAACCAUGAGAUCAUGACCUGAGGUGAAAUCAAGAAUCAGACACAUAACCAACUGAGCCAUCCAGGUGCCCCUCUACUUUCUGUUCUUUCUUUUGGGGUGAAUUCCUCCAUGUUGUCAUUUUGUCCAGGGGUAAAACAAAAACAAAGACAAAAGCAACUAGCUCCUAAGUGUGUUUUGGUCUGCUUGGUAAAAGAAGCUAGAUCCAGAAAAUAACAGGAAAAAAUAUAUAGUUUAUACUUUAAAUAGUAAAAAUAAAUAAUAAAAAAUAAAAAGGAAGCUGGAUCCUAUUUCCUUAGAGCUAAAGCCUUGUAGCACCCUAUAAUCAAUAGACUUGGUAUCUGCCAGUGAUUUUUGCUGGUCUUCUGGAAGAAGGGCUCUUAUGCUGUUUCUCAGGUGUUCUUGCCCUAGUGGAGAUGCUGUCUGCAGGGCGUGUCCGGGCAGGGCUUGGUGUAACGGCUCCAGUCUCCACUUGGUGGCUCUGUUUAGCUCACAGAGGUGGGUCAGUGCUGGUGGGCAGAGGGUGAAAAUGACUUUGCCAUGCUCUCUUGCCUCCAGAGUGGGGAGCUCGUGCCCACCACUCCUCAGGAAGCCCUCACAGAAGAGCAGUCACCCCUCCUGUGUCCCUGGAUUCUGUCAGAUCCCCACCUUCACCCUGUAUCCAAGCUGUCUGCCUGGUAGGCUGCAUAGCCCUCCUGUGUUUUAUCUCAGAUGUGGCUGUGUUUCAAACUUCUGAACUUUAGAGACCCCACAGUCUAACCCUGUGCUUAUCCCCAGGGGGAGGGUCUCCCCCACACUGUGGCCGGUGCCAGUCUGUCCUAGAAAACGGUGGCACAGCGGUUCAGAGUUUAUGGUAAAUCACAGCACAAAGUCAGCACCUAGGUUUGCUGCCCUCAGCUGGUGUCUUUGUUCCUAUGCUGGUGAGCAGGGCAUCUCAGUGGUGCCUGCUAGGUCUUUUGCCCCUGAGGAAACCAUAUCACCUCUGCCAAAUGCACUUUCAAGCAGAGGAACUCUUCCUCCAUGUGACCCAGGGGAUCCUUAAACCACACUGCCUGCUACCUGCCCUCCUUCCCCACCAGAGCACUGCCAGGCCUAACCCUGGCAGUAGCAUGGACCUCCCAAACUUCAGACUCUGCAUUCUGCUAUGAUGAAAAACUUGAAAUAUUUAAACCCUCUCCUGUUUCCCAGUCAGUAGUUUUAGGGAAGAAUUUUUUUGUGUGUAAUUCCCUGCACGUGUUUUCAUAAUUUUUCUCUUUCUCUCUCGCUCCUCUCUUGCUCCCUCCCCUCUGCAACUCCUGUGCCUCUUUUCUCCCUCAAAUCAACUCCACAGUUGUUAUCUUCCACAAGGUAGUCAUUUUUUCUGCUUGUAGAUUUGCAGCUUUGUUCUCUGAGUCUUCAGAUCAAUUUCUUGGGUGUUUAGAAUGAUUUGAUAUUUAUGUUGCUAUGUUCUAGGGAAGAGGUGAGCUAAGGAUUGUCCUACUCUUCCACCAUCUAAACCCUUCCUUUUUUAUAAAAGAUUAAGGAUUUUCAAAAAGAUAGUAGGUAGGGGCGCUUGGGUGGCCCAGUCAGUUAAGCGUCCAACUUUGUUUCAGGUCAUGAGCUCAAAGUUUGUGAGUUUGAGCCCCCUGUUUGGCUGUGGUGCUGACAGCUCAGAGCCUGGAGCCUGCUUCAGAUUCUAUGCCCCUCUCUCUGCCCCUCCCCCACUGUGCACUCUCUCUCUCUCUCUCUCUCUCUCUCUUUCUCUCUCAAAAAUAAAUUUAAAACAUUAAAAAAACCUAAAAAGAGAUACUGGAUAAAUCACAACAUUAUUUUAGUGAAUAUAAAGCAUGUUCUUUCUGUAAAUAGAAAUAGACAUUAAAAAUUAUUCAUUUAACAUAACUCUGAUUUCUAGUGUGAUUAUUACUCCAUAAGAGUCAUCAGAUAUAUUUCCUUAUUGCAUCAUAGAAAUGUUAGUUUAUGAUUAUCUUAAAUCAUCUGUUAUGUUAUCAAUACUUGUUUUGUGUCAGUAGUGUUCUUCCUGGUUUAUAACAUAGUGCAGGUAUUUGUGGAUGCGUGUAGUCUAAGUGAGUUUUGGGCUUAUUUGUACAUUAACCUUUAAGCAACAUAGGGAUGUUAUAAUCAUAUUAUGGGACACUUUAAAGGCUGCCUAUGCAUAUAAAUUAGAAAACUAAGUCACAAGCUAAAUUAAACCAAAUUUUUUCAGUCUUUGUUACCUUGGGCACCAAAGAGGGUCUUUAUGUUUUGCUUCAAUUUUUGAUUUUCACCAGUAGAAAUUCUUCAUGAUAAUUAAUAAGAAACCUUAAACAUAAGCAUAGAAAGAAAUUUUCUUCCUAGUAGCCUUGGAGUCUAUAACAUGAAAUUAAUCAAAAAGCAUUUAAUAAAAGAGUCUUUAGAAAGUAUAUUUAAUCCUUUGGCUUAAUAGUUUCUUGUGAUUAGAUCAUUCUAGGGUAUGCUUUACUCACAAACUAAGGUACUAUUAAAGAGACCACCUAAGGCCUCUCUGGCUCUACGAAAUAAUAGAUUUUUUUCUUUGGAUAUAUAGAAAAUGAAUACUGAUAUUUAUUAAAUUAUGUGAAGAACGAUAUCACUGGGUAUUAUCUGAGUCCAAGGAACACUGAGAUUAUAUAAUAUGCCUGCUGGAUAGUUUUUUUUAUAAAGUCAGAAAAGAUCAGUUCUCCAAGUUGGAUUUUUUCUUCUGAGAAGAAAGCCAAUUUUCCUUGGCUGACUGAUGAUUUCUGUGGCCAUCUUUAGUUUUGGAGCUUAGUGGAGUCACCAUUUCCUGUGGAAGAAGUUCUGCAGUUUAUCCAAUAGAAACCACGCAAAGAGCCCCUGACUGAGAGAGCGUAACUAACAUGGAAGAAACUUGACAGUUUUAAGAUACCUAAUCUUCACAGUUUCAACUUUGAAGAGUCCAAAGAAGUGGAACCUUUAAAGAAGAUACUUGACUGUUAGAAUUCCUUUUUAUUCUUAGAUAGCAUAUAAGAUAUUUCCAUGUAGCAGAAGAAAGAAAUGUUUUUUUCCUUUGGCAAAAUCCUAUUAUAUGGGCAUACCUUGUUUUAUUGGAGUUUGCUUUAUUGCACUUACUAGAUAACCCCCCCCCUUUUUUUUUUACAAAUUGAAGGUCUGUGGCAACCCUAAUUGAACAAGUCCAUUUGGCACUGUUUUUUCAACAGCAUUUGCUUAUGUCAUGCGUCUUUGUAAUAUUUUGGUAAUUCUCUCAAUAUUUCAAACUUUUCAUCAUUAUUAUUUGAAUUUCUGCAAUCUCACAAUCAAGUUUUAACGGUUGAGGAGUUGCUUCUUAUGGAUGAGUAAAGAAAGUGGUUUCUUGAGAUGGAAUCUACUCCUGGAGAAGAUGCUGUGAAGAUUAUUCAAGUGACACCAAAGGAUUUAGAGUAUGACAUAAACUAAGUGAUAACGCAACAGCAGGGUUUGAGAGGACUGACUCCCAAUUUUGAAAGAAGUUCUAUGCUUCAAUGCUAUCAAACAGUAUCACAAGCUACAGAGAAUUUGUUGGUGAAAGGAAGAGUCAGUUACUACAGCCGACUUUGUUGUCUCAUUUUAAGAAAUUGCCACAGCCACCGCAACCUUCAGCACCCACCACCCUGAUCAGUCGGCAGCCAUCAACAUUGAGGCAAGACCCUCUACUAGCAAAAAGAUUGCAAUUUUCUGGAAAGCUCAGAUGCUAAAAAGCAAUAAAGUAUUUCUUAAAUGAGAUAUGUACAAUUUUUUAGACAUACUGCUAUGGUGCACUUAACAGACUACAGUAUAGUGUAAACAUAACUUUUAUAUGCCCUGAGACACACACACAAAAACUCAUUUGACUCACUUUAUUGUGAUAGUCACUUUAUUGUGGUGGUCUGAAACUGAAUCCUCAGUAUCUCCAAGGUAUGCCUGUCCUUUGCUCCACUUAAUUUUUGGAAGACUUAAGAGCCCUUCAUGAGGAAAAAUUCCUGUUUCUUGAGAAUCCCAAUAGCUACUAUUCCUGGUACAAAAGAAUGGAAAAGAAGUAACCUAGCUUGUGAAAUAGAACUGUUUAUAGAUGUCAUUUCCUUAAGACUUAACAUAGCCAUUUUCCUACGUGUAAUCUGUUACUCCUAUCUUGGUCCAUUUCUUUUGUUGUCAUAUAUGAAAACUUUACUCCCCACCUCACAGGGAUGUUGUGAGGCAAAUUUUAAAUGUUCCUAAAAAAAGUGUAGAAUUAAUAACUCUUGACUGUUUCUUUGUUGGUAGUUUCUAUAAUUAUAAAAUUUUGUUUAUUUUUCAAUUUACAAGUGUUUUUUAUAGUUAUAAAUGGAUAGUAGGUAUAUUAAAAUGGAAGUAAGAUAAUGAAAUUGUAAUUGAUUUAUCAAUGAGCAUCCUUGUAUAAUUUAAAUGAAAUGUUGCACUGAUUUUAUUUUUAAAAGAGCUUUUAUAUCAUUUUAAUUAAAGAAAAGCUAAAGUAAG
Molecule: long non-coding RNA, 10827 nt
Organism: Acinonyx jubatus (cheetah)
Lineage: Eukaryota; Metazoa; Chordata; Mammalia; Carnivora; Felidae
Exons: 2
Source: RefSeq, a predicted model, not a curated record